RNAcentral lists this ribosomal RNA (995 nucleotides) under uncultured bacterium. Its description in RNAcentral is "bacterial SSU rRNA". It matches the Rfam family "Bacterial small subunit ribosomal RNA", at positions 356 to 1376 of the family's 1533-position model. The record is from RNAcentral.
AGGGAAUAUUGCACAAUGGGGGAAACCCUGAUGCAGCGACGCCGCGUGGAGGAAGAAGGUCUUCGGAUUGUAAACUCCUGUUGUUGAGGAAGAUAAUGACGGUACUCAACAAGGAAGUGACGGCUAACUACGUGCCAGCAGCCGCGGUAAAACGUAGGUCACAAGCGUUGUCCGGAAUUACUGGGUGUAAAGGGAGCGCAGGCGGGCGAUCAAGUUGGAAGUGAAAUCCAUGGGCUCAACCCAUGAACUGCUUUCAAAACUGAUUGUCUUGAGUAGUGCAGAGGUAGGCGGAAUUCCCGGUGUAGCGGUGGAAUGCGUAGAUAUCGGGAGGAACACCAGUGGCGAAGGCGGCCUACUGGGCACCAACUGACGCUGAGGCUCGAAAGUGUGGGUAGCAAACAGGAUUAGAUACCCUGGUAGUCCACACCGUAAACGAUGAUUACUAGGUGUUGGAGGAUUGACCCCUUCAGUGCCGCAGUUAACACAAUAAGUAAUCCACCUGGGGAGUACGACCGCAAGGUUGAAACUCAAAGGAAUUGACGGGGGCCCGCACAAGCAGUGGAGUAUGUGGUUUAAUUCGACGCAACGCGAAGAACCUUACCAAGUCUUGACAUCCUGCGACGAUGCUAGAAAUAGUAUUUUCCUUCGGGACGCAGAGACAGGUGGUGCAUGGUUGUCGUCAGCUCAUGUCGUGAGAUGUUGGGUUAAGUCCCGCAACGAGCGCAACCCUUAUGGUCAGUUACUACGCAAGAGGACUCUGGCCAGACUGCCGUUGACAAAACGGAGGAAGGUGGGGAUGACGUCAAAUCAUCAUGCCCUUUAUGACUUGGGCUACACACGUACUACAAUGGCGUUAAACAAAGAGAAGCAAGACCGCGAGGUGGAGCAAAACUCAGAAACAACGUCCCAGUUCGGACUGCAGGCUGCAACUCGCCUGCACGAAGUCGGAAUUGCUAGUAAUCGCAGAUCAGCAUGCUGCGGUGAAUACGUUCCCG